Molecule: ribosomal RNA, 483 nt
Filed under: uncultured bacterium
Lineage: Bacteria
Description: partial 16S ribosomal RNA
Rfam family: Bacterial small subunit ribosomal RNA
Source: RNAcentral
UUGAACGCUGGCGGCAGGCCUCACACAUGCAAGUCGAGCGGAUGAAGGGAGCUUGCUCCUGGAUUCAGCGGCGGACGGGUGAGUAAUGCCUAGGAAUCUGCCUGGUAGUGGGGGAUAACGUCCGGAAACGGGCGCUAAUACCGCAUACGUCCUGAGGGAGAAAGUGGGGGAUCUUCGGACCUCACGCUAUCAGAUGAGCCUAGGUCGGAUUAGCUAGUUGGUGGGGUAAAGGCCUACCAAGGCGACGAUCCGUAACUGGUCUGAGAGGAUGAUCAGUCACACUGGAACUGAGACACGGUCCAGACUCCUACGGGAGGCAGCAGUGGGGAAUAUUGGACAAUGGGCGAAAGCCUGAUCCAGCCAUGCCGCGUGUGUGAAGAAGGUCUUCGGAUUGUAAAGCACUUUAGGUUGGGAGGAAGGGCAGUAAGUUAAUACCUUGCUGUUUUGACGUUACCAACAGAAUAAGCACCGGCUAACUUCGUG